GUAGUUUCUAUAAAUAAAUAAAUAUAUAAAAGAAAAGAAGAGGAAAGCAGAAUCGGGAAAGAGGAGAGGAGGAAAAAGAAGGGAAAAGAAAGAAAGAAAGGAAGAAGGAGAAGAAGAGAAGGGAAGAGGGAGUUGGUGCUGGAUUUUUUUUUUCUGAGUUUCUCUACCAAGAAAGAACACUAACAAGGGGAAAAGAAGGAUUUUGAUCUGGGGUACAAGGAAUUUGAGAGAGAGAAAUGGAGAAGAAGUUGAACAGUAGCAAAAACAGGGGUUCAGCAAAGGCAGCAUGUUUCUCUUCCAUCCAGGAAGAUCUUUUGAUUAUGGUUUUAAGUGGAUGGAAGGUGAUAUUUGCUAGUUGGUAUCAUGAGAUCAGUUUUGUAGAGGUUAAUUGAAAAGAGAAUCAGGUUGAUGGUUUUUAGAGCUCCGAAUGGCUAGACUCCAUGGUUCUGGGGAAGCAAGGGAAGGAAAUCUAUAGUAGAGAAUAAGGGUGUGACAAAGAGAAAGGAAAGAGAAGGGUAGAGAGACGUGAUAUUUUCCCCCACUCGUUGUACAAGAUUGACCAAGAAAUUAAUGAGCACAUUGUAUGGAGAUAAUUAAUGUAGAAACUGUGCAAAGUCUAUCCCCUACUAUGGUAAGACAAACUAGCAUAAUGUCUAUGUUAUACAUUGAUAAUUUACAAUUUAUAUUUUUUAAUUUAAUUUUUAAUUAUGUUCUAAAUAAAAUAAAUUAUUAUUGUUAAA
Hevea brasiliensis (rubber tree) is the source of this 740-nucleotide long non-coding RNA. RefSeq lists it as uncharacterized. NCBI's taxonomy places the organism in Eukaryota, Viridiplantae, Streptophyta, Magnoliopsida, Malpighiales, Euphorbiaceae. The transcript has 3 exons. The record is from RefSeq and is a predicted model, not a curated record.